CCUACGGGAGGCUGCAGUAGGGAAUAUUGCACAAUGGGCGCAAGCCUGAUGCAGCCAUGCCGCGUGUGUGAAGAAGGCCUUCGGGUUGUAAAGCACUUUCAGCGGGGAGGAAGGCGGUGAGGUUAAUAACCUCAUCGAUUGACGUUACCCGCAGAAGAAGCACCGGCUAACUCCGUGCCAGCAGCCGCGGUAAUACGGUGGGUGCAAGCGUUAAUCGGAAUUACUGGGCGUAAAGCGCACGCAGGCGGUCUGUCAAGUCGGAUGUGAAAUCCCCGGGCUCAACCUGGGAACUGCAUUCGAAACUGGCAGGCUAGAGUCUUGUAGAGGGGGGUAGAAUUCCAGGUGUAGCGGUGAAAUGCGUAGAGAUCUGGAGGAAUACCGGUGGCGAAGGCGGCCCCCUGGACAAAGACUGACGCUCAGGUGCGAAAGCGUGGGGAGCAAACAGGAUUAGAUACCCUUGUAGUC
RNAcentral lists this ribosomal RNA (465 nucleotides) under uncultured Klebsiella sp. Its description in RNAcentral is "bacterial SSU rRNA". It matches the Rfam family "Bacterial small subunit ribosomal RNA", at positions 338 to 795 of the family's 1533-position model. The record is from RNAcentral. Lineage: Bacteria; Pseudomonadati; Pseudomonadota; Gammaproteobacteria; Enterobacterales; Enterobacteriaceae.